This 618-nucleotide ribosomal RNA is filed under the name uncultured bacterium. RNAcentral describes it as "bacterial SSU rRNA". The stretch from base 1 to 528 matches the Rfam family "Bacterial small subunit ribosomal RNA", at positions 338 to 873 of the family's 1533-position model. The record is from RNAcentral.
CCUACGGGAGGCGCAGUAGGGAAUAUUGGACAAUGGGUGCGAGCCUGAUCCAGCCAUGCCGCGUGCAGGAAGAAGGCCUUCUGGGUUGUAAACUGCUUUUGCCGGGGGAUAAAAGACCCAUGCGUGGGGAAUUGAAGGUACCCGGUGAAUAAGCCACGGCUAACUACGUGCCAGCAGCCGCGGUAAUACGUAGGUGGCGAGCGUUGUCCGGAUUUAUUGGGUUUAAAGGGUGCGUAGGCGGCCCCGUAAGUCAGUGGUGAAAUACGGCAGCUCAACUGUCGAGGUGCCAUUGAUACUGCGGGGCUUGAGUACAGUCGAGGUAGGCGGAAUUGACGGUGUAGCGGUGAAAUGCUUAGAUAUCGUCAAGAACACCGAUAGCGAAGGCAGCUUGCUAGGCUGUAACUGACGCUGAGGCACGAAAGUNCGGGGAUCAAACAGGAUUAGAUACCCUGGUAGUCCGCACAGUAAACGAUGGUCACUCGGUGUUGCGGUACACGGCAGCGCUUAGCGAAGCGUUAAGNGACCACCGUGGGAGGUACGCCGCCGACGGUAGGAACGUACGAAAGGAAGUUAGACGGACGUAGAGACGUGCCGAACGGACGACGACGAGGGAGUAGG